Molecule: non-coding RNA, 212 nt
Filed under: Caldibacillus debilis
Lineage: Bacteria; Bacillati; Bacillota; Bacilli; Caryophanales; Bacillaceae
Description: T-box sequence
Rfam family: T-box leader
About the family: Uncharged tRNA acts as the effector for transcription antitermination of genes in the T-box leader family. T-boxes are found upstream of many aminoacyl-tRNA synthetase genes and some amino acid biosynthetic genes usually in Gram-positive bacteria.
Source: RNAcentral
AUUCGGGCGAUGACAGGGGCCAGUAGUUCUUCUAUCCCUGUUUUCAGAGAGCUGAUGGCCGGUGCGAAUCAGCACAAAUAGAAGAAUGAAUUACCCCCUGGAGCAUUCACUGUGAACAUGGAAGUAGCAGUGGACGGGAAAAACCGUUAUCUUUCAAAGUGGAGGAGUUUUCCUCAAGUUGGGUGGUACCGCGGAUUUUAUUCGUCCCUUCG